This 321-nucleotide unclassified non-coding RNA is filed under the name Hevea brasiliensis (rubber tree). The record is from RNAcentral. Lineage: Eukaryota; Viridiplantae; Streptophyta; Magnoliopsida; Malpighiales; Euphorbiaceae.
GAAGGUUUGCGAAGAAAGGUUGAAGGUCAGGGAAGAAUUGUAAGGAAGGUGUUUUUAUGUGAUUCUAGAAUCAAUGACGAGUUUGAAAGAGAAUUGGAGGUCAAAACAUGAAGAAUACAGUGCCAAAAACAUUAUACGGGCCAUGUAACCCACCCCGUGUAACUUCCUGGACCCCGUGUAACUCUCUGGACUGAAGAAAACAUGAAAAAUGAAGUGGUAGAAAUUUACACGAGACGUGUAUCACUACACGGUCCGUGUAAAGUCUCCUGACAGCAAUUCUAAUGCAACUUUUCUUCUCUCCAACUCGACCCGGAUGGACUC